CUACGGGACGCAGCAGUAAGGAAUAUUGCACAAUGGGGGGAACCCUGAUGCAGCAACGCCGCGUGGAGGAUGACGCAUUUCGGUGUGUAAACUCCUUUUAUAUGUCAAGAAAAUGACGGUAGCAUAUGAAUAAGCACCGGCUAACUCCGUGCCAGCAGCCGCGGUAAUACGGAGGGUGCAAGCGUUACUCGGAAUCACUGGGCGUAAAGGACGCGUAGGCGGGUUGGAAAGUCAGGUGUGAAAUCCUACAGCUUAACUGUAGAACUGCACUUGAAACUUCUAAUCUAGAGUAUGGGAGGGGGAGAUGGAAUUAGUGGUGUAGGGGUAAAAUCCGUAGAUAUCACUAGGAAUACCUAAAGCGAAGGCGAUCUCCUGGAACAUUACUGACGCUAAGGCGUGAAAGCGUGGGGAGCAAACAGGAUUAGAUACUCGUAGUC
Molecule: ribosomal RNA, 437 nt
Filed under: uncultured bacterium
Lineage: Bacteria
Description: partial 16S ribosomal RNA
Rfam family: Bacterial small subunit ribosomal RNA
Source: RNAcentral